This 466-nucleotide ribosomal RNA is filed under the name uncultured bacterium. RNAcentral describes it as "partial 16S ribosomal RNA". It matches the Rfam family "Bacterial small subunit ribosomal RNA", at positions 28 to 507 of the family's 1533-position model. The record is from RNAcentral.
GAUGAACGCUGGCGGCGUGCUUAACACAUGCAAGUCGAACGAUGAAGCCCAGCUUGCUGGGUGGAUUAGUGGCGAACGGGUGAGUAACACGUGAGUAACCUGCCCUUGACACUGGGAUAAGCCUGGGAAACUGGGUCUAAUACUGGAUAUGACUUCUCAUCGCAUGGUGGGGGGUGGAAAGAUUUAUUGGUCUUGGAUGGACUCGCGGCCUAUCAGCUUGUUGGUGGGGUAAUGGCUCACCAAGGCGACGACGGGUAGCCGGCCUGAGAGGGUGACCGGCCACACUGGGACUGAGACACGGCCCAGACUCCUACGGGAGGCAGCAGUGGGGAAUAUUGCACAAUGGGCGGAAGCCUGAUGCAGCGACGCCGCGUGAGGGAUGACGGCCUUCGGGUUGUAAACCUCUUUCAGUAGGGAAGAAGCGAGAGUGACGGUACCUGCAGAAGAAGCGCCGGCUAACUACGUG